Molecule: transfer RNA, 58 nt
Filed under: Dipodomys ordii (Ord's kangaroo rat)
Lineage: Eukaryota; Metazoa; Chordata; Mammalia; Rodentia; Heteromyidae
Rfam family: tRNA
About the family: Transfer RNA (tRNA) molecules are approximately 80 nucleotides in length. Their secondary structure includes four short double-helical elements and three loops (D, anti-codon, and T loops).
Source: Rfam by way of RNAcentral
UGGCUCAGUGGAAGAGCACUUGCCUUGCAUGCAUGAGGCCCUGGGUUCGAUUCCUCAG